This 253-nucleotide ribosomal RNA is filed under the name uncultured bacterium. RNAcentral's name for it is "partial 16S ribosomal RNA". It matches the Rfam family "Bacterial small subunit ribosomal RNA", at positions 524 to 776 of the family's 1533-position model. The record is from RNAcentral.
UACGUAGGGUGCGAGCGUUGUCCGGAAUUAUUGGGCGUAAAGGGCUCGUAGGCGGUUUGUCGCGUCGGGAGUGAAAACACUGGGCUUAACUCAGUGCUUGCUUCCGAUACGGGCAGACUAGAGGUAUUCAGGGGAGAACGGAAUUCCUGGUGUAGCGGUGAAAUGCGCAGAUAUCAGGAGGAACACCGGUGGCGAAGGCGGUUCUCUGGGAAUGUCCUGACGCUGAGGAGCGAAAGUGUGGGGAGCAAACAGG